AGUCCACUAGCUCAGUUGGCAGAGCCAUUGACUUUCCAUCAAUCGGUCGCCGGUUCGAGUCCGGCGUGGCGUA
This 73-nucleotide transfer RNA is filed under the name Gordonia araii NBRC 100433. Its description in RNAcentral is "tRNA-Glu". It matches the Rfam family "tRNA". Rfam says of the family: Transfer RNA (tRNA) molecules are approximately 80 nucleotides in length. Their secondary structure includes four short double-helical elements and three loops (D, anti-codon, and T loops). The record is from RNAcentral. Lineage: Bacteria; Bacillati; Actinomycetota; Actinomycetes; Mycobacteriales; Gordoniaceae.